UACGUAGGUGGCAAGCGUUGUCCGGAUUUACUGGGCGUAAAGAGCGCGCAGGCGGUCGCUCAAGUCGCGUGUGAAAGCCCCCGGCUCAACUGGGGAGGGUCACGCGAUACUGAUCGACUGGAAGGCAGGAGAGGGUAGUGGAAUUCCCGGUGUAGUGGUGAAAUGCGCAGAUAUCGGGAGGAACACCAGUAGCGAAGGCGACACUCUGGGCCGGUACUGACGCUGAGGAGCGAAAGCGUGGGGAGCAAACAGG
Molecule: ribosomal RNA, 253 nt
Filed under: uncultured bacterium
Lineage: Bacteria
Description: partial 16S ribosomal RNA
Rfam family: Bacterial small subunit ribosomal RNA
Source: RNAcentral